Molecule: ribosomal RNA, 112 nt
Filed under: Caerostris darwini
Lineage: Eukaryota; Metazoa; Arthropoda; Arachnida; Araneae; Araneidae
Source: RNAcentral
AACGGCCGUACCAUGCUGAAUAUACCGGUUCUCGUUAGAUCACCGUAGUUAAGCAUCAUUGGGCGCGGUCAGUACUUGGGUGGGUGACCAUCUGGGAACACUGCGUGCCGUU